RNAcentral lists this ribosomal RNA (482 nucleotides) under uncultured bacterium. RNAcentral's name for it is "partial 16S ribosomal RNA". It matches the Rfam family "Bacterial small subunit ribosomal RNA", at positions 30 to 507 of the family's 1533-position model. The record is from RNAcentral.
AUUGAACGCUGGCGGCAUGCUCUACACAUGCAAGUCGAACGGUAACAGGCCGCAAGGUGCUGACGAGUGGCGAACGGGUGCGUAAUGCAUCGGAACGUGCGCAGUCGUGGGGGAUAACUACUCGAAAGAGUAGCUAAUACCGCAUACGAUCUAUGGAUGACAGCGGGGGACCGUAAGGCCUCGCGCGAUUGGAGCGGCCGAUGUCAGAUUAGGUAGUUGGUGGGGUAAAGGCUCACCAAGCCAACGAUCUGUAGCUGGUCUGAGAGGACGACCAGCCACACUGGAACUGAGACACGGCCCAGACUCCUACGGGAGGCAGCAGUGGGGAAUUUUGGACAAUGGGCGCAAGCCUGAUCCAGCAAUGCCGCGUGCAGGAAGAAGGCCUUCGGGUUGUAAACUGCUUUUGUACGGAACGAAACGGCUCUGGUUAAUACCCGGGGCUAAUGACGGUACCGUAAGAAUAAGCACCGGCUAACUACGUG